Lonchura striata (white-rumped munia) is the source of this 242-nucleotide non-coding RNA. NCBI's taxonomy places the organism in Eukaryota, Metazoa, Chordata, Aves, Passeriformes, Estrildidae. The record is from RefSeq and is a predicted model, not a curated record.
AAUACAAAGUUACCACAACGUCUGAUGCUGGACAAAGGUCAGGUUGUGAACCCAUAGUUGAACCCCAAAUAGAUUGCAGAGCUGGGUUGAUGACAUACUUUGGGUAGAAGACUGAAGAUGCCUUGACAGGAUGGGUGGCCAACCUGAUUCUGCAGAGGGAUGCAGUGAAGAAUUUGCAUUCCUUUGCACUGCACUUGGUACAUUGUUGAACCCUGUCAACCAAAUUUCCCUCCAACCAUUCU